CUCACUCUUACUUUGGUCAGGCCAUAUCUCAUACUGUACAUGGACAGGAUCUUUACAUUCAACAGUGGGAUCACCUCACAGCUACAGUGGAUAAACUUCAUCCAGUGGAUACAUUUCUUCUCAAACUUCAUAUAUUAGGAGAAAUGUUUAAUGGAUUAUGUUUUCAGACGUCUGCGUUUGGUAGCUGGGUACAAGAUUGAAGCUUUAAAAUUUGGACUGAUCUGAGGCACAACAGUCAAGUUCUUCUCCAAAUUAAAAGAAAACAAACUUUGGACAUUAACUUUAUUCCAUUCCGAAUUCAUGAUUGACAUCUUGGAGCGAAUGCACAACUUUUGAACAGCAAGGAUAAUCGAUCCUGUGCAGCUCUGCAGUUCAUUAUCUACACCUCACAUCAGUACCUGCAAGUCUGUGAAAACAUCAGCGAGGUUUAUGAAGCAUAGCGUGUGUUUCUGAACAACUUCUAAACUUGUUUUCAGCAUGCUGAGAUCAAGCACUUCUGACAAAGUGCCGACAAGCCAUUCUGAAGGAAAUUGAACAGAACCAAGAUGUGACGCAAGAAAAUGCAACAACAACAGUCCUGGCCUCGACAACAGCUCCCCCAAAAACAACCAGACAAUCUUACGACAAUGCCUACUUCUACAUUCUGUUUGUAAUGUUUUUCUACUCUUUCCUGGCUGUUACCCUGUUAAAAGGUUUGGUUCAACACGAUAAAGCCAAGAAGGAUCCGUAUGAGGAGUUCAUGGCCCCCAUGGACUCCCCUGAGAAAAAAUACAAGGAAGGCCCAUUCAGUAAAAAAAACGAUUUUGAAGAGGAAAACACAAUCUAAGCAAGAAGUCCCACAUGUUAAAAACAUGUAAACCGUAAACAUUGACAAUUCGGUGCAACAAAAAAUGGAUGUAAAAAAAAUUGGAUUGAAUUAUUUCCAUUUAAACCUCUUGUGCUGUUAUUGGCAGACCUUUUUUAUAUAGUGAGAUCAGCUGUUUGUCUCUGUGACCCCUGCGCGCAAAGUUACAAGCAAUUGCAAGGUGAAUUUACAAAUUAACAAAGUCGACCUUGUAAUUACAUUUGUUUUGACAAAAUCAGAAUUAGGAAGUAAGUUUAUACGAUGUGCGUUCGGUUUUUUUUUGUUUGAUGUGGAGAGGUUAGAUUUAAUCAAGCAGAAGGCUGAAAGCAGGGAUGCGGAGCGGGGAACGGCCGCGCAUGCGAUCCGAUCCGUACAGAACGCGGCGAAAAAUGCGCACAGCGAGCGCUCGUCUAAUUUCAACCUCCCGCUGACCCCGUGUGAUCUUACAUCAGGACGCAUGGAACCUUAGACUUUAUCGGUACUGUGAAUUAACGUCAAUUGCAUCUAGCAAGGAUGGCGGGGGAUGCCUUUAAUGAGAACAUACGCUUUUCAUUUUGACGACAUUCUGCCGGCCAGCUCAUGAAAGCCAGAUUGUGGAGAGAGGGUGCAAGCGGUCUAAUCUGGAGGAACGGACGAACAACUCGCGAUUUGCACCCUCCUCCCUCCCUCCCUGCCUCGCUCUGGCCGGGUUUCAUUGGAGAGAAGCAAAUCAAAGGCUGGUCGGUUGAUGGUGGCAGCGAGAAGCGAGUUCAGAUGGUGAUGUUAAGAGGACCAGGGCGUCAAACGUCACCAGGGACAGGAUUUCGCAAUCGCAUUAAUUGCAGAUGUUGGCAAAAUGACAGCUGGGAUUGAAUAAUUACCGUGUUUGAAGGUCAUAACAAGUCUAAAAAUAAACUAGAACUAAGUGUAGUUUACAGAAAAAUUAAGCAUAAAUUAAGUUUUUAUUUUGUCACUGAAAAACUGCGUUAAACAAUAGGCCAGUUUGGUCGAAAAUAAAGUGUGCAGGGAGGCAAAAUAAAAUGUAUAAAAUAGAUGCACACAUUAAAUUCUGGUGGGAGUAAGUGUAUUCGAAAGUCUGACAACUUUUUAAAUGUAGUUACACUUUAGUGCAGGCAUUUGAUGGAGGCCUGAAUCCCCCUUUACCAUCUGAAGUAGCUUAUUGCUUUCAUUAAGAGGCUCAUAAUCAUAAAUAGCUCAUUUUGGUCCUAUGUGUAGCUUUUAAAAUAUAUUAUAGCCAAAAAAUGCACUAACCGUUCUGUAAGUCACUUCGGAGAAACGCCUCUGCACACAGCAAUAGUUCUAUGCACAAUGAAUUGUGCGAACAUAAUCACAUUCAGUGAUAGGAUUUCAGUGGUAGAAUAUUUAACCAGAACCCAGAAAUAGUUUAUUUAAGGGCAGCUGCAUAUCCUGGGUUAAAAGAGGAGCAUCCUGACCCGAGGAAGGGCCCGACCCGUCUUAAUUUAAUCUAUCCGCCCGCUUCUCUUUGAAGGCACGUCGCAGCCCGCGGGCAGAGCUGACCACCUCUUUCCUUUGACCCGAUCACACUUCAUAGAGGGGGAUAGGAAAAGCAAACAAGAAAUGUUUUCAUUCGAACACAAACUGUUGCUUAAAUGCCACUACAGGGUCAUUUUACUGACUGUGCCCAUUUGUAAAAAAGAAAAUGAUGGAAAGAUUGAAAAUACUUAUUGACACUUUACAUUAUGGUAAAAAUGCCAUUACAUUUAGCUAGCGUACUUGUGAAAUUUUUGAGCUGGUUGUGAUUUCAGAUUGAUUUCGCCAUGAAGUAAAAAGUAUUGUAUAUUAUAUUAUUGACACAUUUCUAAAUGAUGAAAAACAUCUGGAUUUUUUAAAUAUGGAUUUCAAUUUACAAUACAAAUAAGAACAAUAAUAACAAUAAUAAUCAUCAUCUGUGACAUUCUGAUAUGGAAAAUGUAGACCAAAUACCUUUUAAUUUUAUAUUGUUUUUUUCCUUUCUUUUCUUGGGCAAUAGAAACUAAAAAUAAAUGCAAAAAUAUACCAAAUUAACACAUUCUGCACCUUUGCAGUACAACGCCCGUUGGCAUUUUAAUGAAUUUGGUUGUUUGUAAUUGUUAUAAAAGUCCGUAUACAGUAUGCAUUUAUUGUAUUUUUAAAUUCAGUCUUUUUAUUAUUUUUUGUUUAAAUAACUUGAUUGGAUUUUUUCAUUAACAAUUAUGUUACAGAAAACUAUUGUAAGAUUAAAGUGUGACUAUAUCCUUCAUUUUUAUUUAAUCCCAUAGUAUUUUUGUCCCUAAACAGAACUUAAUAGACAUAAUCAAACCCAUAGUAGAGGGGUGGUUACAACACUAGAUCCAGCAGUCACAACAAUCUAGAAAUGAAGCGUUUGGUUCCAAAAUGAGAUAACUCAGUUGUCAAAAAACAUUUUUUAUUGUGCAUUACGAUCUUUUUUUUAAGCUUUAUUGCAAACCAAUCUCAUUUUUGGUCUCAAACUCUUAAAAUAUUGUUCUGUUGUUCAUGUAUACAGCGUUCCUGUUAUACACAAUGUUACAUGACAGGAAUAGGUCAUUUUUAAACCUUGUUUAUAUUGUGACUAACACAAUUUUUGUUCUCCAGCAGAGAAGACUUUGAAAAGUCUUGUUUUGUUUAUGAUUUAUUCAUUCAUAUUUUGUUUUAUGAAACUCUACAUUACUUUGAAAAUGAGGUUCACAAAAAAAGGUCGUAGUGAAAUAAGCAACUUAUCAAUUUAUUGAAAAAAGGGUCCAUAUGCCAGUUUGACUACCAUGUAGCUUUAUUUUUUACAAUUUACACUGUAAAUAAUUUAAAACUUUAACACAUUUUCUUAUUUAACACUUAUUCAUAAGUGAUACAGUUAGUGUCAGUUAAAGGGUAAAUUGAUACAAUAUCCCUGGACAACAUAUGAAGAGUUUGAUUCCAAAAUGAUCCGUUUUUUAAAUUGUUUUCAAAAAAUCAUGUUUUUUAUUAUAUUAUCAUGUUUUAUGGUGUUUUAUUGUGUUAGUUAUCUUUAUUUUUUACAAAACAAACCAACUGCAGUUUGAACAUGAUUGAACAGAAAAAAUCAUGAUGUUUGAAUUCAUUAAAAAACGGAGUUAUCUCAUUUUUGAACCAAACCCUUCAUAUUUAUGGUCUUGUAUUAAUCUAGCAUAAAUUGACCGUUUUGUGUUGUAAAAACAAUUUCCAAGGUAUUUGUAAUUAGACAAAACUUGUUACUUGUUACAGUGACUCUAAUAUUUGCUAUAGGGUAACAGGGUUCAUCCUCUAGUGCCACCUGGUGGACAAAUCCAUUUACGCACACGUGAGAUACUGAGCAGACACUUACAGGACGAGGCAAACGAUGCAGCUCAUGUUCCAAAUGUUCUUUUAUGACUGGUGAUGCAAAGUUCUUGUGCAACUGCCAGUCUUACAUUGCUGCCUCCCCAACAAACCUUUGAUAUACAGAACGAACUAAAACCACAACAGAAACGAAAGUAAGUGAAUUUUUUUUUUUAAGUUACUUACAAACCACAUAUGUAGGCUUCGCUACGUAAGGUUUACAUCCACACAUUUCUCAUGAUAUAUAUGCUCAUAAUAGCCUAUAACGGAAAUAUAAAUUGCCGUACGCUUAGUUUCAACUGUCACUUAUACUGAAACAUUUGAAUGUAUGAGAGUUUCAAUAUAUUAGCUCUCUAUUAUUUCGUAAAUAAACAGCAGAAUAUGUGUAAAUAUCCAAUCUUGCAAAAAGUCAUACAAUGAAUUUAAAAGUGCCUUUUACGCACAGUGGCGUCAUAAUGGAAAUGAUUGCUAAUCACAAACAUAACAGCAUUAUUUUCUAAAAUAUUUUUUCUUUUUACAGUGUUUUGUGUGUUUUUUGUCACAAAACACUGUGUUUGUGUGUUUGUGUUGUGUGUCCACAACAUUUUAAGUGUUGUGUUGGCUAAAUCUGAAAACUGUUUUUUUACUAGCACAUUACCGAAGUAAAUUUUUAACUGGUAACACUUUAAGUUAAGAUACCCUUUGUAAAGCAAUUAUAAAUGAGUUCAUUAAUGAUUAAUAAAUUGUUACAAAUGCAUAAAAAAUCAAUCAGAACUACAGGGAUUCUAACGAAAUACCUCCCAAAUAGGCAGUAAUUUAAACUCCUUAUUUGUACAUGUUAUGAAUGCAUAAUAAAUGUAUUUAUUCCUUA
Molecule: long non-coding RNA, 5003 nt
Organism: Triplophysa dalaica
Lineage: Eukaryota; Metazoa; Chordata; Actinopteri; Cypriniformes; Nemacheilidae
Exons: 2
Source: RefSeq, a predicted model, not a curated record